This 440-nucleotide ribosomal RNA is filed under the name Fusobacteria bacterium oral taxon 220. RNAcentral describes it as "bacterial SSU rRNA". It matches the Rfam family "Bacterial small subunit ribosomal RNA", at positions 29 to 482 of the family's 1533-position model. Lineage: Bacteria; Fusobacteriati; Fusobacteriota. The record is from RNAcentral.
AUGACCGCUGACAGAAUGCUUUAACACAUGCAAGUCUACUUGAAUUUGGGUUUUUAACUUAGGUUUGGUGCGGACGGGGUGAGUAACGCGUAAAGAACUUGCCUCACAGCUAGGGACAACAUUUAGAAAUGAAUGCUAAUACCUAAUAUUAUGAUAAUAGGGCAUCCUAUAAUUAUGAAAGCUAUAUGCGCUGUGAGAGAGCUUUGCGUCCUAUUAGCUAGUUGGUAAGGUAAAGGCUUACCAAGGCGAUGAUAGGUAGCCGGCCUGAGAGGGUGGACGGCCACAAGGGGACUGAGAUACGGCCCUUACUCCUACGGGAGGCAGCAGUGGGGAAUAUUGGACAAUGGAGGAAACUCUGAUCCAGCAAUUCUGUGUGUGUGAAGAAGGUCUUCGGAUUGUAAAACACUUUUAGUUGGGAAGAAACAAAUGACGGUACCAAC